GUGGGGAAUAUUGGACAAUGGGCGAAAGCCUGAUCCAGCCAUGCCGCGUGUGUGAAGAAGGUCUUCGGAUUGUAAAGCACUUUAAGUUGGGAGGAAGGGCAGUAAGUUAAUACCUUGCUGUUUUGACGUUACCGACAGAAUAAGCACCGGCUAACUUCGUGCCAGCAGCCGCGGUAAUACGAAGGGUGCAAGCGUUAAUCGGAAUUACUGGGCGUAAAGCGCGCGUAGGUGGUUUUGUAAGUUGGAGGUGAAAUCCCCGGGCUCAACCUGGGAACUGCCUCCAAAACUGCAUGACUAGAGUACGGUAGAGGGUAGUGGAAUUUCCUGUGUAGCGGUGAAAUGCGUAGAUAUAGGAAGGAACAUCAGUGGCGAAGGCGACUACCUGGACUGAUACUGACACUGAGGUGCGAAAGCGUGGGGAGCAAACAGGAUUAGAAACCCGUGUAGUCC
Molecule: ribosomal RNA, 450 nt
Filed under: uncultured bacterium
Lineage: Bacteria
Description: partial 16S ribosomal RNA
Rfam family: Bacterial small subunit ribosomal RNA
Source: RNAcentral